GUGCUCACUUCGGCAGCACAUACAUGAAAACUGGAACAACACAGAGAUUAGCGUGGCUUCUGUGCAGGGAUGACAUGCAAAUUUGUGAAGAGCUCUUUCAGAUA
Nomascus leucogenys (northern white-cheeked gibbon) is the source of this 104-nucleotide small nuclear RNA. Lineage: Eukaryota; Metazoa; Chordata; Mammalia; Primates; Hylobatidae. The record is from Ensembl.